UACGGAGGGUGCGAGCGUUAAUCGGAAUUACUGGGCGUAAAGCGUGUGUAGGCGGUCAUGUGUGUCGGGUGUGAAAGCCCCGGGCUUAACCUGGGAAUUGCACUCGAAACUGCAUGACUAGAGUGUGGUAGAGGAAGAUGGAAUUCCACGUGUAGCGGUGAAAUGCGUAGAUAUGUGGAGGAACACCAAUGGCGAAGGCAGUCUUCUGGGCCAACACUGACGCUGAGGCACGAAAGCGUGGGGAGCAAACAGG
Molecule: ribosomal RNA, 253 nt
Filed under: uncultured bacterium
Lineage: Bacteria
Description: partial 16S ribosomal RNA
Rfam family: Bacterial small subunit ribosomal RNA
Source: RNAcentral